This 484-nucleotide ribosomal RNA is filed under the name uncultured bacterium. Its description in RNAcentral is "bacterial SSU rRNA". It matches the Rfam family "Bacterial small subunit ribosomal RNA", at positions 30 to 507 of the family's 1533-position model. The record is from RNAcentral.
AUUGAACGCUGGCGGUAGGCUUAACACAUGCAAGUCGUGCGAGAAAGUAUCUUCGGAUAUGAGUAGAGCGGCGGACGGGUGAGUAACGCGUAGGAAUCUACCUAGUAGAAGGGGAUAGCCCGGGGAAACUCGGAUUAAUACCGUAUACCUCCUUCGGGAGAAAGAAGGCCUCUCUUUGAAGCUUUCGCUAUUAGAUGAGCCUGCGUAAGAUUAGCUUGUUGGUGAGGUAAAGGCUCACCAAGGCGACGAUCUUUAGCGGGUCUGAGAGGACGAUCCGCCACAUUGGGACUGAGACACGGCCCAGACUCCUACGGGAGGCAGCAGUGGGGAAUAUUGGACAAUGGGCGCAAGCCUGAUCCAGCCAUACCGCGUGUGUGAAGAAGGCCCUAGGGUUGUAAAGCACUUUAAGUUGGGAAGAAAAGUUAUUGGUUAAUACCCAAUAACCGUGACAUUACCAUCAGAAUAAGGACCGGCUAAUUCCAUG